This is a microRNA precursor of Bison bison bison, 70 nucleotides long. Lineage: Eukaryota; Metazoa; Chordata; Mammalia; Artiodactyla; Bovidae. The record is from Ensembl.
GGGCGAGCGCCGCCAGUGCGCCUGCUCCGCGCCGGCAGGGAGCGCGGGCAGGAGGCUGGAGGCGUUCCCC